This 459-nucleotide ribosomal RNA is filed under the name Triticum aestivum (bread wheat). RNAcentral's name for it is "partial small subunit ribosomal RNA". The record is from RNAcentral. Lineage: Eukaryota; Viridiplantae; Streptophyta; Magnoliopsida; Poales; Poaceae.
AUGAAGGAGGCAAUGGUCGAUCCGCCCACAUCUUGCCGCAGUGCGUGCGGCGACCAACUGCAGUCCUUCUCGGCAGGGCGCAGAUGUGAAAAGAGGAAGGUUCCGCUGCUUGCCCCACGGCCUGAGGCAGCCGCCCUCCUCCUCAUCAGAGCGCACGCCUGGAGCGGCGGCGGCGUGGAGGAGAGGGAGACAGAUUUGGCUGCGCUGGAGCAGACGAGGAAGAAGCAGAGGAUGCACGCUGUGGGCAGCAGAGGCCCGAUGGACCAACUAGCAACAGCAGAGUCAUGUUUUAUAACCACAUACCCAAUUUCCAUGACAAACGUGAGCUUCUUUUGUUUCUUUGCCAGAAAACAUUACUCAUUGCAAAUAAUUUACUUUGCCUUUCUCCACGGAGAUUCUUAUGAACUGCUUCCGAGUCCAAUCUAUGUGUACAUCAUUCCCUUUUUUGUGUGUGGAUAA